This 98-nucleotide small nucleolar RNA is filed under the name Acinetobacter sp. WC-743. Lineage: Bacteria; Pseudomonadati; Pseudomonadota; Gammaproteobacteria; Moraxellales; Moraxellaceae. The record is from RNAcentral.
AUUAUUCAUUAUCAAGAGAUGAAAAUAUCAAUUCGAUAACAGCUCAGUGAAUUAUUUGUCAUAUGAAAAGAUUGUUGAGACAUAUAGUCAUCCUGAUG